AUUGAACGCUGGCGGCAGGCCUAACACAUGCAAGUCGAGCGGCAGCGGGAAAGUAGCUUGCUACUUUUGCCGGCGAGCGGCGGACGGGUGAGUAAUGCCUGGGAAAUUGCCCAGUCGAGGGGGAUAACAGUUGGAAACGACUGCUAAUACCGCAUGCGCCCUACGGGGGAAAGCAGGGGACCUUCGGGCCUUGCGCGAUUGGAUAUGCCCAGGUGGGAUUAGCUAGUUGGUGAGGUAAUGGCUCACCAAGGCGACGAUCCCUAGCUGGUCUGAGAGGAUGAUCAGCCACACUGGAACUGAGACACGGUCCAGACUCCUACGGGAGGCAGCAGUGGGGAAUAUUGCACAAUGGGGGAAACCCUGAUGCAGCCAUGCCGCGUGUGUGAAGAAGGCCUUCGGGUUGUAAAGCACUUUCAGCGAGGAGGAAAGGUUGAUGCCUAAUACGCAUCAACUGUGACGUUAUUCGCAGAAGAAGCACCGGCUAACUCCGUGCCAGCCGCCGCGGUAA
RNAcentral lists this ribosomal RNA (508 nucleotides) under uncultured bacterium. Its description in RNAcentral is "partial 16S ribosomal RNA". It matches the Rfam family "Bacterial small subunit ribosomal RNA", at positions 30 to 523 of the family's 1533-position model. The record is from RNAcentral.